AGUGAACGCUGGCGGCGUGCUUAACACAUGCAAGUCGAACGAGAACGGAUUAUAGCUUGCUAUAAUUGUCAGCUAAGUGGCGCACGGGUGAGUAAUGUAUAGGUAAUAUGCCUCUUACUAAGGGAUAACAAAUGGAAACGUUUGCUAAUACCUUAUACUCCUUAUUAACAGAAGUUAAUAAGGGAAAGAUUUAUUGGUAAGAGAUUAGCCUGUAUUGUAUCAGUUAGUUGGUGGGGUAAUGGCUUACCAAGACUAUGAAACAUAACUGGUUUGAGAGGAUGAUCAGUCACACUGGAACUGAUACACGGUGCAGACUCCUACGGGAGGCAGCAGUGGGGAAUAUUGCACAAUGGACGAAAGUCUUAUGCAGCGACACCGCUUGGAUUAUAACACAUUUCGGUGCGUAAACUCCCUUUAUAUGAGAAGAUAAUGACGGUAUUAUAUGAAUAAGCACCGGCUAACUCCGUGCCAGCAGCCGCCGUAA
This 484-nucleotide ribosomal RNA is filed under the name uncultured bacterium. RNAcentral describes it as "partial 16S ribosomal RNA". It matches the Rfam family "Bacterial small subunit ribosomal RNA", at positions 29 to 523 of the family's 1533-position model. The record is from RNAcentral.